Molecule: ribosomal RNA, 142 nt
Filed under: Neisseria meningitidis
Lineage: Bacteria; Pseudomonadati; Pseudomonadota; Betaproteobacteria; Neisseriales; Neisseriaceae
Description: partial 16S ribosomal RNA
Rfam family: Bacterial small subunit ribosomal RNA
Source: RNAcentral
AGAGAUUGAACAUAAGAGUUUGAUCCUGGCUCAGAUUGAACGCUGGCGGCAUGCUUUACACAUGCAAGUCGGACGGCAGCACAGAGAAGCUUGCUUCUCGGGUGGCGAGUGGCGAACGGGUGAGUAACAUAUCGGAACGUAC